GGCCGCGUGGCAAAGUGGUUAAUGCGUCUGCUUUACAUGUCGCUCAUGUACGCAGAAGAUCGUGAGUUCAAGCCUCACCGUGGUCA
Cryptococcus sp. DSM 104549 is the source of this 86-nucleotide non-coding RNA. NCBI's taxonomy places the organism in Eukaryota, Fungi, Basidiomycota, Tremellomycetes, Tremellales, Cryptococcaceae. The record is from the annotation of a GenBank genome assembly.